Molecule: long non-coding RNA, 7218 nt
Filed under: Ananas comosus (pineapple)
Lineage: Eukaryota; Viridiplantae; Streptophyta; Magnoliopsida; Poales; Bromeliaceae
Description: long non-coding RNA (ACOM_LNC012356)
Source: RNAcentral
GGCUAAGGUCAAGUAAACGACUCUCACUAGUCUAACAACCAACAGGUCACGUGCACUCGGCACAAUCUGAUGCCAAAACGGCGAUACGGGUCCACCGUUAAUCCCGACGGCACCCAACAGUCCGGAACAGCCUAAACGCUACUGUAAAAAUUCACUCGACAUCCCAGUGCGAGUGUAACUGAAAUCUAAACUACCUGGGAUACUUGCUAUGAUGAUACUGCAACAGUAUAAAAUCAUACAAUGGCCCCUAAGGCUAAAUCAGGUAGUUUAAACAGGUGACAGGUCCAAAUCGCAGGUUUUCUCCUAAUUCAAAUUCCAAGUCCAACAUGUAUAAACUACUCAAUUUAUUACCACAUGCUCCAAAUUCAGAUUGGCAAUCUACAAAAUAAUCCAUGAAUUCGAGCUAGAAUAGACUAUAUCAAAAUUGAAGUUCACACAUGUCGACGAUUAGAACUUAGGAGUCAAAACCGAUGUAACCCACCUCAAGAAGCUAGCUCCUGGCAGCGAACAAGGCCUCGAACCAAAGUGACCCCUGCUGGAUCAACGGGAACCCUCCAAGUCUAGCACUCGAGCUAACUCCAAGCUCUACGAUCAAAAUCCACCAAUUCAGUCCCAAUUUCGCAGCAACAGAGUAGAAAAGGGAUUCGACCAAGCUAAACUUCACCAAAUCCAGCAAGUAAGGGCUUCGCGGAUUCCUCUCGAAGUCCCGAAUCCAACGAACCAAGUCUCGUCGCAAUCCGAUGCUCCUACGUCGAGAACGAGCUGAAAUACUAACAGUCGACGACAAGAUCCUGCGAAUCAGCACUUAAGCUCGAAUUGAUGAUACCCGAAGUAUGCGCAGCAAUUCCAUAGAGCACUCACCUCGAUAGAUCCUCAAGAGUCGGCGCAAUGUCGAGGACGACGGAAAUCCACGCUCGCCCGAGCUCCUCACAGCACCAAGACGACACAACGUGCGCCCGAACGGCUCCGCGGCACCACGUCGGCGACGAAACUCCACCCGAGCUCCACCUUGCUCACAAUCGGCUCUAGAGAGAGAGACGGAGGGAACCAAGAGCAAAACUCUCUCUCUCAGCCUCACUCUACAUGUAAAUAAGCUGGGGAGAGGAGCGUGAUACGAACGAGGUAGAAAAAGACCAAAACACCAUCUCACUUACCCUGGUGUACCGGUACACUGGAUCGCGUACCGGUACAGGAAGCCAACCCGAGAGCAGUACGCACUCAGCCAGUGUAGUGUACCGGUACACCUCGCUGGCUGUACCAGUACAGCAAGCAGGAAAACCUGCUAUUUUGCAGAUUUCUUCGCUGAAAGCUGCCCUCGCGUCGCACGGAGUCUGUUUUGCGUCUAUUUGACGCCAACGCGACUCGGACUUGUCCCGACACUUUCCAGAGCUGUCGACAAGCCUCCACAGUCAAACACCAGGGAUCUCACAUCCUGCCCCACUACGAAAAGUUUCGUCCGCGAAACUGAAAUGUACCUCUGCUUAGGCAUCAAACAAAUAGGGAUAGGCUUCCCUCAUCACCGUCUCAGGCUCCCCAGUCGCCUCCCGCUCAUCAUGAUUACUCCACUGCAUUUUCACAUACGGGAUGACCCGGUUGCGCAAUUCUUUCGUCUCUCGAGCAAGAAUCCGCAACGGUCGCUCCUCGUAUCUCAGAUCCUCACCAAUCUCUAGUAGAGUGAAGUCAAUCACAUCAGAGGGAUCGAAAACGUAUCUCCUCAAUGCUGAGACAUGGAAAACAUCGUGGAUGCCAGCAAGUUGCGAGCGUAGAGCUAUCCUGUAAGCAACCGGUCCGAUACGCUCCCAUACCUCGAAAGGGCCAACAAACCGUGGACUAAGCUUUCCACGUACUCCAAAUCGGCGUAUCCCUCUAGACGGCGAGACUUUGAGAAAAACAUGAUCUCCAACCUGAAACUCUAAGUCUCGUCUCCUGGUAUCUGCGUAGCUCCUCUGUUGGCUCUGUGCUAUCAAAAGGUGUCGUCGAACGACUCUCACCUUUUCUUCAGCCUCAAGUAGAAUGUCCGGUCCAAAUGUCCUCCACUCACCCACAUCGCUCCAAAACAGGGGGGAUCGACAUCUCCGUCCAUACAACGCCUCAAACGGAGCCAUCCGAAUGCUCGUUUGAUAGCUGUUGUUGUACGCAAACUCAACAAGUCUCAGAUGUCGAUACCACCCUUCUCCAAAAUCCAGGACGCAUGCCCUCAGCAUGUCCUCAAGAGUCUGUAUGGUCCGCUCUGACUGACCAUCUGUUUGUAGGUAGAAUGCGGUGCUAAAAUGCAGCUGUGUGCCCAAGGCUGUCUGAAGGCUCCUCCAAAAUUGGGAUACAAACCUCGGGUCUCUGUCUGAUACAAUCGAUACUGGCACGCCGUGCAGCCUAAUGAUCUCAUCCAAGUAUAGCUGCGCGAGUCUCUCACUGGACCAGAUAGUCUGAACCGGUAGGAAGUGAGCAGACUUGGUCAGUCUGUCCACUAUCACCCAAAUCGCGUCGUAGCCACCCUGCGCUCUAGGCAAUCCAACGACGAAGUCCAUCGUGAUGCACUCCCAUUUCCACUCGAGCACUGGUAGACUCUAAAGCUUGCCAGCAGGCACCUGAUGCUCGGCCUUCACCUGUUGGCCAGUCAAACACUGAGUCACAUAUCUGCCAAUGUCCCUCUUCAUUCCAGGCCACCAGAAUCGUGCCUUAAGAUCCUUAUACAUCUUGGUUUCCCCCAGGGUGAACCGUAUAAGGGGAACAAUGAGCCUCUCUCAAAAUAUCUGCUCGAAUCUCAGAAUCCACAGGCACACACAGUCGGUCCCUGUACCGUAGUACUCCCGAACCGUCCAAAGCAAAUCCCUCAGCCUGCCCCCUGUCUAGCUGCUUUCUAAUCCUCAACAAGUACGGAUCUCCACUUUGUUUCUCUCGGAUCCUAUACAACAGAGUGGGCUGUAACAACAGAGACGUCAGCCUCGUCGUAGACCCAGGGGUACUAUCUCGAGUCCCAGCCGCUGUAGCUCCUUGAGUAGGGGUCUCUGCUCAGUAAUCCUCAAACUCAGGCUCUGCACUGACUUCCUGCUCAACGCAUCUACCACCACAUUCGCCCUGCCGGGAUGAUACUGUAUACUAAUGCUAUAGUCCUUCAGUAACUCGAACCACCGGCGCUGCCUCAGGUUCAGCUCCCUCUGUGUGAACAGAUACUUGAGACUUUUAUGAUCGGUGAAGGCCUCGCAGUGCUCGCCGUACAAGUAAUGCCGCCAAAGCUUCAAAGCAAAAACCACCGCGGCAAGUUCCAAGUCAUGCGUAGGGUAAUUCUUCUCGUAAUCCUUUAAAUACCGUGAAGCAUAAGCAAUCACCCUACCAUGCUGCAUCAGCACGCAACCAAGUCCAUUGUGCGAUGCAUCACUAUAGAUCACGAAUCCAUUCCCCAUCACUGGAAGGACAAGGCUAGGAGUCGACGUCAACCUCAGUCUCAACUCGUCAAAGCUCCUCUGACAAUCGUCACUCCAGACAAAACGAAUCCCCUUCCGCGUCAAGCGUGUGAGGGGUGUGGAAAGCUUCGCAAAGCCUUCCACAAACCGACGGUAAUAUCCAGCCAGUCCCAGGAAGCUCCGUACCUCAGUCAGCGUCGUCGGUCUAGGCCAAUCUCGAAUCGUCUCAAUCUUCUUCGAGUCCACUGAUACGCCCUCAGUUGAAAUCACGUGGCCCAAGAAAGCAACCUCCCAUAGCCAGAGCUCGCACUUCUUCAACUUGGCAUACAACUUUUUCUCGCGCAGAAGCUGUAGCACAAUCCUCAAGUGCUCCUCAUGCUCAGCAUCACUCCAGGAGUAAAUUAGGAUAUCGUCUAUGAAGACUACCACAAACCUAUCCAAGAACGGCUUGAACACUCUAUUCAUCAAAUCCAUAAAUGUAGCAGGGGUAUUCGUCCAUCCAAAAGGUAUCACCGUGAACUCAUAAUGCUCAUACCGAGUCCGAAAAGUCGUCUUGGGAACAUCCUCGGCCCUCACCCUCAACUGGUGGUAACCUGACUGGAGAUCAAUAUUCGAGAAGACAUAAGAUCCCUGCAGCUGAUCAAACAAAUCAUCAAUGCGCGGCAAGGGAUACUUAUUCUUGAUGGUCACUUUAUUCAGCUCCCGGCAAUCCACACACAGCCUAAGUGAACCAUCCUUCUUCCUCACAAACAACACUGGCGCUCCCCAAGGCGACACACUCGAUCUCACAAACCCUCUAUCCAUCAAAUUCAGAAGCUGCGCCUUUAGCUCCCUUAGCUCUGCCGGCGCCAUACGAUAAGGUACCUUCGAGUUUUGUGCAGUUCCAGGAACUACAUCAAUCACAAACUCAUUCUCCCUCUCCGGCGGCAACGACGUCAACUCAGGGGAAAUACAUCCGGAAACUUGCGGACUACUAGGAUAUCCUCGAGUCCCGGCGUCGCCGUAGGUAUCUCCACAACUGUCGCUAGGAAAGCGAUACACCCGGUACUCAGCAUCUGUCGAGUCCUCGCCGAAGAUAUCCAGGUGGCAAACAGCGUGCUCCUGCAGCCUCUAAAGUGAACUCCUCCCGGCCUGGCCCACGGAACGUCACCGUCCUUGCUUCACAGUCGAUAAUAGCCUAGUCCCGGGUCCGUCAAUCCAUACCGAGCACGACGUCGAAGUCCUGCAGCUGCCCUAACACCAACAGGUCUACAGCAAAAUCCAAGACUCUAGCUGCACCGGACAAGACCAACCACACUCCGCAACCUGUAACACAUGGUCAGGGAUCUGCACCUCUCGGCCAAAGAUAAUGACCCUAACUCUAGACCAUGCAACAGUGCCAACGCUCGGCUCACAAAAGAAUGGGAGGCAUCAGUAUCAACUAAAGUACGAGUACAUAUGCCGAAAAUUAAAAUGAUACCUGCCACCACACGAUCGGCUGCUGAAGAGUCUUCCUGGCGGUAGCUCGGUGGUGCUCCAAAAGCCUACUGGUCAGCUGGCUGCGCUGUUGCAAUGGAUAGUGCUGGUAUUGUCGCUCUAGAACACGCUGACCUCACAUGUCUUGGCUGUCCACACGUGUAGCAACGGCCCUCUUUCUGCACACACUUUCUGGGCCAGUGUGGUCCUUCGCAGACCACACACUGCGGCGUCCUCGGUGACGGUCCCUGCUGAAGCGAUCCCCUGGAAUGCUGACGCCCGGAUGAACCACGACCCUGAGAGCCAGAUCGAGAAAACCUCAGCGGACGUCUGCUACUCGUCUGUCCUCCAUCAUCUGGAAAAGGGCGCUUCCUGUCCUGGCUUUGCCCUGGUGCCGUAAUUCGCUCCUGGACGGGUGUAACUCCGUAUCCCACCAAGAGUGCCUGCUGCACAGAUGCUCCUGUCUCAACGCCUGACCACUGAGUGAUAAUCUCAUAAAUCCUCUGCAAUAGUACACUCUGCUGCUUGAUCACCUUUGUCAGGGCAGCCACCUGCUCUCUCAAAUCAGGGGGUGCACUCACCUCCGGUCGUGCACUCGGCUCUGCUUGGUUAGGCAUCUCUAGCGGUGCGACUCGAUCCCUGGUCGACGGUCGACCUCGGCAGCGAUCUGAGAAAAACGGAACGAGGUCAGAUAACACACAAACACUCUCGACCCAAUCAACGAAAGUCUGGAAGGUAGCCCCUGUUUUCCUCCAAAAUUAUGUCGUCUGCAGCCAACAUAAUUUUUCAGGCCAAAACAGAUACUCCUUCAAUCACUCACUCCACUCUAGGAGGAGUUAGAACAAAUAAUCAUUGACUUUCGCAAUUAAAUUAUGCCUCUCGCGUCUUGCUUCCUAAGGUUUGCCAACUUAGGGUUUCUUAGGUCCCAACGACCUAUAGCAAAGCUCUAAUACGAACUUAAUCUGUCACGCCCCGGAUGUCUCGUUCCCCGGGCACGCCGACAAAUCGGCCGUAUAUAGAGAAAUUUUCCCUGUAUACGAAGCGACAGCUGUACCUGUAAACAUACAAUACUACAAACAGUAGUAUAGAGCUGCACGAAUAAACAAAAGCUAAACAAACUGAGUUUCAUAUACAUAGUCCAAAUCCAAAAUACAGAGUUACUCGCACUGGCGAGUUAGGUAUGCUAUGUACAUAAACUUGAAACAAACAUCUACCUGCAGUAGGGGCGCCUCUAGCUCUGCUCGUCGGGUAGGGCUCUAACUCGCGACGCCCUUGCCUCGAUCCUGAUCUGCGGGAGGCGCAGCAGUCGAAACCUGUGGCUCUGCAAAACAGGGGUAACAACUGGGCGUGAGAACUACUGUAAAAACAAGUAGUCCUCAGUGGGUGCCGCUCAAAAUAAUAUCGGUCCACCCACUAAGUCUACAGAAGGGAGCAAAGGUAGUAGCAAAUGCUGGAAUAGACUCUACAGCUACUAGUCACUACACUAUCCUGCUCUAUGCUAACCAACUGUAGGAAAAGUCAAAACUGGCUCAGUCUCACUAGGGACUGUGAACACACCCGUCCCGCCUGUCGGAUCGAACCCGAGUCCUACUCCAGGAAUAGCUGGUGGAGACAACUCUUUAGGGAUUGUGAAUACACCCAUCCCGUCUAAUUAGGUAACACCGUUGCUCAAGAGUAACCGGCGGAGAAAACUCUCUAGAGACUGUGAAUACACCCGUCUCGCCUAAUUAGACUACACCGUAUCACAAGAGUAGCCGGUCCCGAAAAAGAUCCAACAGAAUGGCUAAGACCUCACUCACGUCACGACCUCACUAUCUCACCCGGGCUGCCCAAAACGGACCCACCCUGCCUAUAUCAAGCUGCGCCGUACACCACCCCGUGGGUAGCCAGCUUAAGAAUUGUCCAACAGAAGCUGCGACACUCAUCGCACUGAAACCUCAUUCCGGAAUGGCAUUCGUGGGCGCGACCCAACGAGUUUACAAGUAACUCUGUAAGUUCACACGGCUCUCACAGGCUAAGGUCAAGUAAACGACUCUCACUAGUCUAACAACCAACAGGUCACGUGCCCUCGGCACAAUCUGACGCCAAAACGGCGAUACGGGUCCACCGUCAAUCCCGAUAGCACCCAACAGUCCGGAACAGCCUAAACGCUACUGUAAAAAUUCACUCGACAUCCCAGCGCGAGUGUAACUGAAAUCUAAACUACCUGGGAUACUUGCUAUGAUGAUACUGCAACAGUAUAAAAUCAUACAAUAGCCCCUAAGGCUAAAUCAGGUAGUUUAAACAUGUGACAGGUCCAAAUCGCAGGUUUUCUCCUAAUUCAAUUUCCAAGUCCAACAUGUAUAAACUACUCAAUUUAUUA